This 496-nucleotide ribosomal RNA is filed under the name Yarrowia lipolytica. RNAcentral's name for it is "eukaryotic LSU rRNA". It matches the Rfam family "Eukaryotic large subunit ribosomal RNA", at positions 62 to 520 of the family's 3401-position model. Lineage: Eukaryota; Fungi; Ascomycota; Dipodascomycetes; Dipodascales. The record is from RNAcentral.
AAACCAACAGGGAUUGCCUCAGUAACGGCGAGUGAAGCGGCAAAAGCUCAAAUUUGAAACCCUCGGGAUUGUAAUUUGAAGAUUUGGCAUUGGAGAAAGCUAACCCAAGUUGCUUGGAAUAGUACGUCAUAGAGGGUGACAACCCCGUCUGGCUAACCGUUCUCCAUGUAUUGCCUUAUCAAAGAGUCGAGUUGUUUGGGAAUGCAGCUCAAAGUGGGUGGUAAACUCCAUCUAAAGCUAAAUACUGGUGAGAGACCGAUAGCGAACAAGUACUGUGAAGGAAAGGUGAAAAGAACUUUGAAAAGAGAGUGAAAUAGUAUGUGAAAUUGUUGAUAGGGAAGGAAAUGAGUGGAGAGUGGCCGAGGUUUCAGCCGCCCCUCGUGGGCGGUGUACUGCCGACGCCGAGUCAUCGAUAGCGAGACGAGGGUUACAAAUGGAAGCGCCUUCGGGCGUUCUCCCCUAACCCUCCACACUGCCACCGACGACAUAAUCCACC